Molecule: long non-coding RNA, 5491 nt
Organism: Dromaius novaehollandiae (emu)
Lineage: Eukaryota; Metazoa; Chordata; Aves; Casuariiformes; Dromaiidae
Exons: 3
Source: RefSeq, a predicted model, not a curated record
AGCUGCGGGCACGGCGGGGAGGGGGAGGGGAGAGUCACUGACGGGAGCGAUCACCCCCUCCCUCUCCCUCCCUCCCUCUCCCCCCCCUAACCCCAGCGCUCCCCCCGCCCUCCCGCACGGAGCCCUCCUCCUCCUCCUCCUCCUCCUCCCCGUGCUGCUGCCCCUGCCCCUCUUCUCCCUCCUCCCCCUGCUCCUCCUGCUGCUGCUCUCAGUGCCGCUCUCGCCUCGCUCGCACACGGACGCGCCGGGGCCGGAGCGGGGAAGCGCAGGGCCGGAGCAGGAGCGGGGAGCCCCGCGGGGCGGCUCGGUCGCUGCUGUUUGUCCACACCCGAUACACCGGCCAUCCAUAUAACGGUUCCAGUUAUAAACAUGGACGCGACUUCAGCAGAGGCCCCAGGGAGACCGUCACCUGGUGUAUCCCGAGGGAAGAGGCCUGAGCUCGCCCGCUAUCUGUGUUUCCACCAGAAAACAACGUUUGGGUUUUUUUCCCCUCUCUGUUCAACGCACACAUUUGGAGCGAGCAGGGAACCGUGCGAUCUCUGCACUCACCCCCGUGUGACAACGCACGGCACAACGAUGGAGAAGAGGGAAGGAGGGCGAAAAUGAGAAGAAACAGGGAGCGCGGCCUCCUCCCUUCCAGCCACCGUGCCGCCCCCGGGCAGAGCUGGUCCCGCCACGCGACCCUCCAGCCACCAGGCUGGUUUGCACCAACAGCAACGACCGCAGCACCCCAGUGCCAUGGGGCUUUGCCUCCUCUUGCCCGCAUACUGCCUUGACAUGAUUACGGGGUCACUGCCUUCAAGAGAAAACAAAACGGUUCCCCCCAUCUAACCCUUCAGUCAAAAUAAUCCUAGAAAUUCCCUUUAAUAACAGCAAGUAAUUUUUAAGUGCCUGUUGUCUUUCAGAUACUGAGUGAUAUCACAUAGUCAGAAAAUCAUCAAAAACAUAUAGCAAGUUGGGGUUUUUUUUAAAGCUGAAUGUUCUGAAGCACAAUAUAUCAAAAUCCCACCCUAUGGAUCCCUCCCGCACAGCAGAGCUCUCCUUGUUAAAAUUCUGCGCAGGCACAUUUCCUCCCCUCUCCCCCAGGUACCAUUCUCUCCGUGUGUACUACAGUAACAACUGCGCCUUUACUAAGAUUGCACACAAUAGCCAGGUCUUUGUAGAGGAUAAUUAACAGCCAGCAGUGAAUCUUAGCAUUUAUUCAAUGGCGUAUGAAUGAGUUAUGAAAAUUCUCUUUUACUGGAGAAGUAAUAGGAUAUCAUUCCAUUUGCAUAUGUUUUGCCUCUUGCGUGAUAGCAUAUUUACGGUUUUCACAGUUUAAAGUGAGAAAUAUGUACACAGAUAUUAUACGUUUGUGCUCAGACAGUCCUAGCUCAAUGAGUUUGCCUCUCCUUCUGUCAUUAGCGAAAUCCUCUCUCCAUCUGUAUCUAAUCUAAAUUCCUUGGGUCCACCCUGAGCGGGAUGAGCAGACCUGAGCCCCUCCAGCUGUUCCUGGAGAUGUGAGGGUUCAUUUCUUGAACUGGAUCUCCAUCUCACAUAAAUUAUCUCGAUGAGUGCCCUCGCAUGGGGUACCUGGAGGCAAUGCCAUUGCACUGUUCUGAAGUGCACAGAGCCCCUAAACUUUUGUGCGCUUGUCAUUUCACGGCAGAAAACCUCUAUAUUGUUCUCUGCUAUUUAAUAGCUGAGCGUGUGUGGAAAGGAGCAACUCCCAGUUGUAGUUGGAGCCAUCAUAUGGAAACAUCUCUCAGCUCUAAGGCUAAAAAGCAAUUGCAGUAGAAUUUAAAUGAGAUCAAUGGACUUUUUAAGUAGAAAUACCAAUGGUCAUUGAUAAAAAUGCAAAAGGAGAAAAAUUUGUUUGGAUGCCUAAAAAAAAUAGUAAGAAAUACCACCUAUUCCCAGACUCCACAGCUUCGGUUCUCUUCCAGGCUACGAAGGUAUGACUAAGAGGAGGGACUCAGACCCAGGCUGAGGAAAUCUGCAAUUUGCUGCUGACUUGCUCAACGCCAUUUCCCCGCUUCUUUUCUCCCCAGAAGCGCUGGUGUGCCAGUAGGUUGCACCCAGCUUCUUUUAGGAGCCCCGUCACGACGGACCCACUUGGUGGGGUGCACUGCGGCGUUUAACACGACACGAGCGUUUAACACUGAUGCUUCUGACAGCCAACUUCACAUCAUUCCUAGGAUUGUUACUGAAUUGUCUUUUUCCCCCCCCUCCCCUCUACUGCAACCUAAAAAAUCCCUGUCAGCCCAGUAAGUCAUUCAUGCUGAAGGUCCGUUUCCAAAGCAGCAAUCUUUAGAGAGGACGGGGAAUAAAAACCUUCCCGUCCUCCGCUGCAGCACAGCAGUGCUCAGAAGGUGACCCACAAAGGGAGCCCGCGAGCCUGCGACCUCCCCUGCCCUCUUACAGUAUUUUAAAGGAGUCUUGAAUUUUUUCUUUGAAAACUAGCGGGGUUAUGUGAGAGGUUCUGCAUGACGGUUUGUUUGUUUGUUUGUUUUACUUUUGAAAUGUAGGUCUCAUCUCUCCUGGAAGGGGUCUGGAUAACCGGACAGCUAAUGAAACAAUAAUAUUGCCCAUGUCAGGGGAGUGAAAGGCAAGAGAGGACAAUGCAUUUUUUUAAUCUAUUUUUUGUUUUUAAUCUGACUGCUUAGCAUUCCUUCUUCCUAGUUAACAUCUUCUGGAGCUCAGGCAUAAACUGACACUUUGGAGAAACGAGGUCUCUGUAAAAUUUUCAAGAGCUCCUAGCAUAGCCCCAGUACUAAACACACAUGGCCCAGCCCACAGAAUGCGUUUUUCAGAUAUGACCAACAUCUACCAUUAGGCACAUUUGGGGGCUUAAACAAAGCAAAAAAAGGACAAUGCAGUUUUGUGUUUUAAAUAGCUUUCUACUACCUAUUUAACCAGCAUGCAAAAGAAAACAAUUUAAAAAAAAACAAGCAAUAAUUGCUCUAUAAAUCACCUGUGGACAGCGAAGGUGAUGAAUUGGAGAUGUUUAGUUUUAUUCCUUUGCAGGGAUUUCUUCUCUUCACUGUGAAACACGUGGUCUGCGGUCCUUAGCUAGCAUCUUCUGCAGCAUGGUAUCAAUGACCACAUAGCGUUCUUCAACUGCUGAGCAGAGGGACACAUGGCAAAUACUGCACCUGAUGUUUUUCAUUGCAGAGAUGAGCUAAAAAUGGGUCCGCUUCUGCAAAGGUGCAGAAAGCCACCCGCGGCAGGAGAGGGCUUCCUGAAGUUACAUCAUGUUCAGCAGAUGAUGGUGAUGGAGAUGCACAUAAUGCAGCUGUAACUGUGGGAGGUAAAGCACAGUUCCUGGCCCAGGUGAAAUCUGAAGCGUUUUGCUCAUGUCCUGCGCUGGAUUUUAGGGAGAGCACGACAAACUGAGCGUCUGCAGCUGCAGCCCUGCCGGACGGGCAGCCCGCGCGCCCAGAGCCGCCAACGCGCAGACACCUUUCCCAGCGGCAGCAGCCUCCUCCCAGCCACAAACGCAAGCGUGGAUUGCUACGCUGAACACGUCAGAGCAAGGCAAUAGCUUAAUAACCACGAUAAAGGCUUUUCCAAAUCCGUUCAACAACGGUAAAUUAUUCCGAAAUAAAAUUGCCUCAGCCAAUCAGCUGCAUAGUCCCCGACCCACGGCUACGUGCUUAUUUCUCAGCGAAGCGAAGCUCCGCACCCCGAGUGGCUUCGUGGUUUCUGGACGUUGCAGAUCCAGCACGUAACUCCCCGUCCCCUCAGUCGCUCAGCAGACUAUUCCUAGUGCAGCAGGUCGGACAGCGCGAGGGGAUGCUCCCAGCUCCCCGAACCCCCCAAAACCGGAGGAGAAGGCCGCAGAGCCCCCGCGGCGCCCAGCGCCGGCGCACCCAGGGCCGGGGUCUGGCCAGGAAGGGCAGAGCCUCCCCCGGCACGCGGAGGGGGAGCGGCGGGAGGCGAGCGCUCACCCCCGGGCCCCCGCUCGUCCCCCGCCGCCCGCCAGCACGGCAGGGUAAUUGGCGGGAGCUCCUGAUUAAUUUGAUAACAACCCUCUCCUGCAUUAACGCACGCUCCACAUGCACCGAUGGGUCAAGAGCCCCAACGAGCCCUGGAAGCGGAGGGAAGCACGUGCAGGGAGCCCGCGAACAUCGGCACGCGGUGUGCCGGGGCCUGGGUCGGAAGCACCUUCCGGCGCGUUCUCCUUCACGCAGCAACACCCUUACAGACCUUGGCUCAUCCCGCACCGCCGCUCGAGGCAGCCGCCUUGCGAGAGGCCUGCCCCGAUUUAAAUGUAUUUGCUCUAAGCUGCAACUUAUGCUGCUCCAUGAGAGCAGCCAGCGCACUUCAGCAGUGAAAGGACAGACCGAUUCUGCAGCUUACUAGCAGAGACACCAAAAUCUGAGAGGAAUAAUAUUAGAUUGUGCGCUUGGUCUUCAAUCAAAAGGAAGAUUAUUCCUCAUUAUGUAUUUUUUAUGCAGUGUUUUACACAGCAUGAGGUCAAAUGUACCAGGCAGCAAGGCCUCAUCUUUGCUUCAGAGACUUAUUUUGCAGACUGAAAGAUACCUCCUUAGUCCCUGCAAUUACCUGCUUAAAUCUUCCCUCACUUCUGUCGGCUGUCUCGCCCAUUAAAUAAGUCAGCUUUCUUCUCGGCACUCACAUCCAUCAAGCACCUGUAGACGGACUCGUGAUCCGUUUUGGGGGUCCUCCAAAUUGUUCUCCUGUUCGGUCUGCGAGACCUGAGAGCCGCCUCUUCUUCCCACGCCAGCAUCACUCCUGCCCCGACCACUUCGCGGUGCUUCGUUCGACCGCUCGUCCGCGGGGCCCGGGCUGCUCCCGCCCUCCGCCACGGUCCCCCCCCAGCGCCGGCGGGGCUGCCCGCAGCCCAGGCACCGGCCCCGCGAGCGCCCACCCUGCCGUCGCUGGCUCCCUGCUACCAGCCCCUGCGAAGACAUGUUUUCCCCCAAGAUGGAUCUCAGAGAUGUUUCCUUCCCCUUUUUUGUGUUAUUUCUCUAGCCCUCCAGCAUCCCCAGGGCCAGCUCUUCGAGGCAUACAACUAACACCUCCUUUAUCCCUAGAUGAUUAAUGACAGCAUUAAAGAAAAACCAUCUUAGCGCUGAACUGCGGGCUAGCCCACUACACACCUUCCUGUCACCCGGUCCUUGUCACCCGGUUUGUCCUUCUGCCCAGCGCCCCAACCAUCGCUCGCCAGAGGCAGCAGCAGGGCAGGGAACGGCUCUGCCGUGGAAAAAUCAUGACGAGCUGCUCCUAGUCCACAAAUCAGAUCUCGGGUUUAAUCUGUAAAUGCUGAAGUUGGUCGGCUUCCAGCAUUUAAGAUAGACUUGUUUUAUUUUCUCUUUUUCUGUGUCAAGCUGCAUUGUAUUUUCACUCCUGAAUUUUCUUAGAACUCUUCACAUUCUGCGUUACACCCUAAUCGCAGGGCCAAAACUGGACAAUAAUUGAACCUAUUUUUUUCAAAAUAUAGGCGACUCAUAUCUAAUGAUACGUUAUUAAAGUUCUAAUAGAUAUCGCA